RNAcentral lists this ribosomal RNA (1375 nucleotides) under uncultured archaeon. RNAcentral's name for it is "bacterial SSU rRNA". It matches the Rfam family "Archaeal small subunit ribosomal RNA". The record is from RNAcentral.
CCGGUUGAUCCUGCCGGACCCGACCGCUAUCGGGGUGGGGCUUAGCCAUGCGAGUCGAACGCCCCGGGGACCCGCCGGGGCGUGGCGCACGGCUCAGUAACACGUGGCUAACCUACCCUCGGGAGGGGGACAACCCCGGGAAACUGGGGCUAAUCCCCCAUAGGGGAAGGGCGCUGGAAGGCCCCUUCCCCGAAAGGGGCCACGCCCGGCACCCGGCGCGGCCCGCCCGAGGAUGGGGCUGCGGCCCAUCAGGCAGUUGGCGGGGUAACGGCCCGCCAAACCGAAGACGGGUGGGGGCCGUGAGAGCGGGAGCCCCGAGAUGGGCACUGAGACAAGGGCCCAGGCCCUAUGGGGUGCAGCAGGCUCGAAUACUCCGCAAUGCGGUAACCCGCGACGGGGCCACCCCGAGUGCCGCCCGAUGAGGGCGGCUUUUCCCCCGUGCAGGGAGCGGGGGGAAUAAGCGGGGGGCAAGUCUGGUGUCAGCCGCCGCGGUAAUACCAGCCCCGCGAGUGGUCGGGGUGUUUACUGGGCCUAAAGCGCCCGUAGCCGGCCCGGUAAGUCGCCCCUGAAAUCCACGGGCUCAACCCGUGGGCCGGGGGCGAUACUGCCGGGCUUGGGGGCGGGAGAGGCCGAGGGUACUCCCGGGGUAGGGGCGAAAUCCGAUAAUCCCGGGAGGACCACCAGUGGCGGAAGCGCUCGGCUGGAACGCGCCCGACGGUGAGGGGCGAAAGCUGGGGGAGCAAAGGGGAUUAGAUACCCCUGUAGUCCCAGCUGUAAACGAUGCGGGCUAGCUGUUGGGCGGGCUUAGAGCCCGCCCAGUGGCGUAGGGAAGCCGUUAAGCCCGCCGCCUGGGGAGUACGGCCGCAAGGCUGAAACUUAAAGGAAUUGGCGGGGGGGCACCACAAGGGGUGUGUGCUUGCGGCUUAAUUGGAGUCAACGCCGGAAACCUCACCCGGGGCGACAGCAGGAUGAAGGCCAGGCUAACGACCUUGCCGGACGAGCUGAGAGGAGGUGCAUGGCCGUCGUCAGCUCGUGCCGUGAGGUGUCCGGUUAAGUCCGGCAACGAGCGAGACCCCCGCCCCUAGUUGCUACCCGGUCCUUCGGGACCGGGGGCACUCUAGGGGGACUGCCGGCGUAAGCCGGAGGAAGGUGGGGGCGACGGCAGGUCAGUAUGCCCCGAAACCCCGGGGCUGCACGCGAGCUGCAAUGGCGGGGACAGCGGGUUCCGACCCCGAAAGGGGGAGGUAAUCCCGUAAACCCCGCCCCAGUAGGAAUCGAGGGCUGCAACUCGCCCUCGUGAACGCGGAAUCCCUAGUAACCGCGUGUCACCAACGCGCGGUGAAUACGUCCCUGCCCCUUGCACACACCGCCCGUC